UUGCGCGCACCGGCGGACGGCUCAGUAACACGUCGGUAACCUACCCUCGGGAGGGGGACAACCCCGGGAAACUGGGGCUAAUCCCCCAUAGGUUUAGGGCACUGGAAUGUCCCUAAACCGAAAGGGGCUCUGCCCGCCCGAGGAUGGGCCGGCGGCCGAUUAGGUAGUUGGUGGGGUAACGGCCCACCAAGCCCAUAAUCGGUACGGGCAGUGAGAGCUGGAGCCCGGAGAUGGACACUGAGACACGGGUCCAGGCCCUACGGGGCGCAGCAGGCGCGAAACCUCCGCAAUGCUCGGAAGAGCGACGGGGGGACCCCAAGUGCCGUGGUACAACCACGGCUUUUCCGGAGUGUAGGAAGCUCCGGGAAUAAGGGCUGGGCAAGGCCGGUGGCAGCCGCCGCGGUAAUACCGGCGGCCCGAGUGGUGGCCACUAUUAUUGGGCCUAAAGCGUCCGUAGCCGGGCUUGUAAGUCCCUGGCGAAAUCCCACGGCUCAACCGUGGGGCUUGCUGGGGAUACUGCAAGCCUUGGGACCGGGAGAGGCCGGGGGUACUCCUGGGGUAGGGGUGAAAUCCUAUAAUCCCAGGAGGACCGCCAGUGGCGAAGGCGCCCGGCUGGAACGGGUCCGACGGUGAGGGACGAAGGCCAGGGGAGCAAACCGGAUUAGAUACCCGGGUAGUCCUGGCUGUAAAGGAUGCGGGCUAGGUGUUGCUUGGACUUCGAGUCCAGGCAGUGCCGCAGGGAAGCCGUUAAGCCCGCCGCCUGGGGAGUACGGCCGCAAGGCUGAAACUUAAAGGAAUUGGCGGGGGAGCACUACAAGGGGUGGAGCGUGCGGUUUAAUUGGAUUCAACGCCGGGAACCUCACCGGGGGCGACGGCAGAAUGAAGGCCAGGCUGAAGGUCUUGCCGGACACGCCGAGAGGAGGUGCAUGGCCGCCGUCAGCUCGUACCGUGAGGCGUCCACUUAAGUGUGGUAACGAGCGAGACCCGCGCCCCCAGUUGCCAGCCCUUCCCUUUGGGAAGGAGGCACUCUGGGGGGACUGCCGGCGAUAAGCCGGAGGAAGGAGCGGGCGACGGUAGGUCAGUAUGCCCCGAAACCCCCGGGCUACACGCGCGCUACAAUGGGUGGGACAAUGGGACCCGACCCCGAAAGGGGAAGGAAAUCCCCUAAACCCGCCCCCAGUUCGGAUUGCGGGCUGCAACUCGCCCGCAUGAAGCUGGAAUCCCUAG
RNAcentral lists this ribosomal RNA (1227 nucleotides) under uncultured archaeon. RNAcentral describes it as "bacterial SSU rRNA". It matches the Rfam family "Archaeal small subunit ribosomal RNA", at positions 69 to 1294 of the family's 1478-position model. The record is from RNAcentral.